RNAcentral lists this ribosomal RNA (253 nucleotides) under uncultured bacterium. RNAcentral describes it as "partial 16S ribosomal RNA". It matches the Rfam family "Bacterial small subunit ribosomal RNA", at positions 524 to 776 of the family's 1533-position model. The record is from RNAcentral.
UACGUAGGGUGCAAGCGUUGUCCGGAAUUAUUGGGCGUAAAGAGCUCGUAGGCGGUUUGUUGCGUCGGCUGUGAAAACCCGGGGCUCAACCCCGGGCCUGCAGCCGAUACGGGCAGACUAGAGUUCGGCAGGGGAGACUGGAAUUCCUGGUGUAGCGGUGAAAUGCGCAGAUAUCAGGAGGAACACCGGUGGCGAAGGCGGGUCUCUGGGCCGAUACUGACGCUGAGGAGCGAAAGCGUGGGGAGCGAACCGG